Long non-coding RNA from Stegodyphus dumicola, 577 nucleotides. The record is from RefSeq and is a predicted model, not a curated record. Lineage: Eukaryota; Metazoa; Arthropoda; Arachnida; Araneae; Eresidae.
CGGAUAUUGGGUAUGGAUAAAUUUACUGUUCUAUUUGUAAAUAGUAAAAGACACGUGGAAAGGAUUACCUGUUUACAAAUUCUAAUCAAAUAAUUUGUGGUGUACUGCAUGAAAUGGAAAAUAGCGCGAAUAUUAUAACCUUUUUUGUUGACAUGAUUUCAAUUAAACAUGAGCCUUCUGUUACAGUUUGAGUCAUUGAGACUAAUCCCCUUUUCCUCAAGUGGCAUUCUUCACCAUUAAGAAUCUCUGGAAAGCUGUUAAAGAAAAAACAUAAAUUCAUUUAUAGCAGAUGCUUCCCUGGCCACCAUUCACUCCUGAUCUCUCACCAAUCGAACACAUUUGGGAUGUAAUUUGGAGGCCAUUUGCAGACCUUGCCAUUGCUGUGUUCUGAAAACGAACUGUGGCAAAUGGUUAAUAGGAAAUGGAAAACUGUUCCUCAGAACACCAUCCAUAGUCUCAUUGACUCUGUACCUAGAGAUGUAUUUCUUCGUGUAUCGCCAUCCAAAGUGAUCUGAGCCGACGCUGUUCUCGCUGUGUAUUAUGCAUAUCAUUUCGAAAUAAAGAUCACUUAUGGUUC